This 220-nucleotide ribosomal RNA is filed under the name Girardinia bullosa. RNAcentral describes it as "5.8S ribosomal RNA". The stretch from base 61 to 216 matches the Rfam family "5.8S ribosomal RNA". From Rfam's summary of the family: 5.8S ribosomal RNA (5.8S rRNA) is a component of the large subunit of the eukaryotic ribosome. It is transcribed by RNA polymerase I as part of the 45S precursor that also contains 18S and 28S rRNA. Lineage: Eukaryota; Viridiplantae; Streptophyta; Magnoliopsida; Rosales; Urticaceae. The record is from RNAcentral.
AUCUAACUCCUUGUCGGUGUGCUUGCACGUCGGCAUCGGGUGUGUUCGAUAAGUCAUAACGACUCUCGGCAACGGAUAUCUCGGCUCUCGCAUCGAUGAAGAACGUAGCGAAAUGCGAUACGUGGUGUGAAUUGCAGGAUCCCGUGAACCAUCGAGUUUUUGAACGCAAGUUGCGCCCGAAGCCACUAGGCCGAGGGCACGUCUGCCUGGGCGUCACGCA